ACAUCACCUUGCUGCAACAGAAUAUAGUUAGUAUAGGUGUCAGCAAUCAUUUUAUUUAUCAUUGAGCGCAAAUAUGCAACCUGUGAACAAACAGAACAAAAUCAGUAGUACAACAACAGGAGUCAAGACUUUCAAGAAUGUAUGCCACGGUGGUCCAGACAUCAACCAGGCUGUCCAGCCUUGUGGGCUGUCUCUUCCUGGUGCGUGUUCUGCCACAUAUCUCUGCAGAGCGGUUAAGUUCUGCAGUGCUUACACACUUCUUGUGAUGCUGUUAUCAGGUCCAAUGUCAGUCGGUUCUGCAGUACCAUUGUCCGUAUGGCUUUCUGCUCCUUUGCUAGGGCUGUCCCAAGGGUUUUGGUCAGAUUUAUGUCUCAGUAGGGCGUAUCGGUUGAUCUCCACAUGAUCACGCACCUCUGCGACUCCAACAUUUGGGACUAGGCUUUGGAAGAAUUUGGAAUUCUCGUGGCACUCCAGUAUCCACCGUCACCCCGAAUGCGUUUGGUGAGGCCAUAUUUAUCUCACAUUUAUUCUGGUUUCUUGGGUGGUUUUCCAGCCUAUCCAUGAAGAAUAUGUGGUCUGACAGUUUAACCAGGGUGCACAGCCCGCCCCAUCCUGCUAGGAGUGAGAGAAAAGCUUUGUGUCCGCACAGGAAGUACCAGUCGGCUAGGACUUGUGUUCCCUUCGGGGUCUGGGCCAUGGAUGAGCAUCUGGUUAAGUUUUGUUGGUUGUCCUUAAGUGGGAACUGCCAUGAGGUAUUCCAAGAUUUUCCUAUCGUUGUUCAGUAAGAAUGGGUACAGUUACAUAGUCGUCCUGGUAGCCAUCAUUCGUUGAACCGUUUCCAGCGAGACAAACGGGCAAGGUUGUGUCUUUGAGGUGAUUCAGUAGCACUAGAUUGGGUAGUGGCUCCUGGACCUGUGGCCAACCCAACAGGUCAUCAUUCGAGACCCAUUUCUCUGUUGUGCAGUUUUUCCAGCCUUGGAUUGUGGAGCCAUACGCGACCAUGUUUAGUGGGGUCGAGAAGUCAGUGUUCUUCCUGUAAAUCCAGGGUGUGUGGCCAUUAGUUACUGUUGGAGCUAUUUGUUCUUUAUUUUUGUUUUUGUUCUUAUUUUUGAAAUUAGUUAAAGUUUGUUAGUUUACUUAUAUUUUGGGGUUUAUUUGUCGGUUAAUAUUUUGUUUUAAAUGAUUUGUUUGUUUGUUGUUAUUUUGUUAAAUUAGUCAGUAAAAGCUGUAGGGCCAUUUUGUUUCUAUAAAUAAAGAGACUGGUAUAGGACCAGCAUGCAUUGGGGUGGGCCUAUGGUUUUUUACCAGAGCAGGAGAAGCAGCAGGAAGGAUCUUGUUAUUGCUUGCCAAGAUGGAUAAAUAAACCAAAACUCUCAACAAAAAUGUUUGGACAAUGGACUUCUUUUGCCUGCGUAUGAAAUAUUACCUCAGUGCAGCAGUGGCUUGUGGACUUUAAGUUGUGGGACGUUUGAUCUUUCAAAAGUAAAGGAAUUGCCACUACAGUUACUUUUUACAACAUGAUUUAUCCCCUGAAUAGGUGAUAAAGCGAUAGAUCUUUCAGCCCAAUUCUACUUUUUCUGCAUAAUACAUCAUACAAAAUGUAAUCAAAUGGAAAAGUCUCUUUUUAAAACUUGUUUUAUUAGUUUUAAUCUUUUAACUUUAUGCAUAAAGCAAACA
Long non-coding RNA from Astatotilapia calliptera (eastern happy), 1677 nucleotides. NCBI's taxonomy places the organism in Eukaryota, Metazoa, Chordata, Actinopteri, Cichliformes, Cichlidae. The record is from Ensembl.